GUCAGGAUGGCCGAGCGGUCUAAGGCGCUGCGUUCAGGUCGCAGUCCGGACAUCCGGGCGUGGGUUCGAAUCCCACUUCUGACA
Non-coding RNA from Ixodes scapularis (black-legged tick), 84 nucleotides. The record is from Rfam. Lineage: Eukaryota; Metazoa; Arthropoda; Arachnida; Ixodida; Ixodidae.